CCACCCAAAGGUGCCAAUUGCUAAUUUCGCAAUUAAUUUUGAAUUUAAUUCAUAUAUUCGCUCAUUUUCCUUCUCUAGUAACGAUUACGCUGUCCCUCUCUUUCGCACCCACGGCCCCGGGGUAUAUACAAUCGUACAUACCUAUCUAUAUGUAUACAUACAACUAAAUAUGUAUGUCCGUAUUGCAAAUUCACAAAGUUAAGCGGAAAUUACUGUGGCAGUUGGAGUCUUAAUAUCUUAGAAGUUAAGGCAAUUAGAUCGAAAGUAAAGAUACAAGAUACUAAUUUAAGAGAUUGAUCGCAGUCCCCAAACGUAUUUAAAAGGACUACACUACUUUUCUUCUAAUCAGAUGAUUAAAUUAUAAGAAAUCAGUUUAGAUAAUCCUGUUGUCCAUGGACUUUCUUUAGCAAAUUUCGGACUUCGAUCAACAUUUAAGAUCAAUCUGUAUUGGGAUUGAAUAUCAAUUGAAAUGAAAAAAUGCAACAUUUGCUAAAUAAAAUUAAAGAAAAUAAUUAUGUUGUUUUCACCACAAAUAUUAGGAUCUGAGUCACAAAUACUUUUCCAAGUUGUAUGAUUCACGUAAAGUACAUUACGUGUUAAA
Long non-coding RNA from Drosophila mauritiana, 601 nucleotides. RefSeq lists it as uncharacterized. The record is from RefSeq and is a predicted model, not a curated record. The transcript is spliced from 3 exons. Lineage: Eukaryota; Metazoa; Arthropoda; Insecta; Diptera; Drosophilidae.